GAUGAACGUUGGCGGUGUGCCUAAUACAUGCAAGUCGAACGGUGACGAUUUUGUAGUAAUACGAAUGAAAUCACAGUGGCGAACGGGUGAGUAACGCGUUGGUGAUCUGCCUCGAAGUGUGGAAUAACGCUCCGAAAGGAGCGCUAAUACCGCAUGUGCUCUCGAUGUUUAGAAAGUUGAGAGUAAAGGAGCAAUCCGGUAAGAGAUGGGCUCGCGUCCGAUUAGAUAGUUGGUGAGGUAACGGCCCACCAAGUCGACGAUCGGUAGCCGACCUGAGAGGGUGAUCGGCCACAUUGGAACUGAGAGACGGUCCAAACUCCUACGGGAGGCAGCAGUGGGGAAUAUUGGGCAAUGGGGGAAACCCUGACCCAGCGACGUCCGCGUGAGGGAAGAAGGUUUU
This 400-nucleotide ribosomal RNA is filed under the name uncultured bacterium. RNAcentral's name for it is "bacterial SSU rRNA". It matches the Rfam family "Bacterial small subunit ribosomal RNA", at positions 28 to 418 of the family's 1533-position model. The record is from RNAcentral.